RNAcentral lists this long non-coding RNA (228 nucleotides) under Trifolium pratense (red clover). RNAcentral describes it as "long non-coding RNA (TPRA_LNC008253)". Lineage: Eukaryota; Viridiplantae; Streptophyta; Magnoliopsida; Fabales; Fabaceae. The record is from RNAcentral.
CUGUUCAAUCUCAAAAACAAACAUAUAUAAUUCCACCAACACUGGCUUACACUAUACUCCUAUAUGUCCUAUUUUGCAGGGCCAACUAAGUUCGACAACGAUGCUUAUUUAGAGGAAUAUAUAUAUUUGAGUUACUUUGAUUUUAUCAUAUCACGUUAUUUCUAGGUAUGAGUAUGCAGUUUUAUGCUAUUAACUUGAAUGUUGUAAAUUUGUUCGUAGAUUCAUCAU